CCUUUUUACAAUGGUAGUUUAAAUCUUAUACCUUUCAUCCUGGUUUACCAAUUUUGCAAAAGGUACCUACUGGAAUUAAUGUCCUGAAUAUGCAAAAAAUAUUUGCAAGUGGACAUCAACUGACUGCAACAAGUUGGAAUGGAAUAUUAUGAAAGAUGGUUAUCCAAGCAAGAGAUCUCCAUGACCAGAGCAAAGGCCUGAGUGAACAUUAAAGAGAUUAAAUUAUAUUAGAUUAUUCCCAGUAAUGCAUUGCUAACUGAUAAGUUAAAAGAGCAGACAAAAUUAAAGUAAUAUCUUUUAAACAUUUAAAUUGAACUUUUUGCAUGUCAUAUUUAGUCAUCUUUUUGCAGAUUUGCCAUUUAAUGGAUUAUGAAAAAUUAUGUGCGUGGUGAAGUAUGUUUCAUUUACAAAUGUUGAUCCAUUCUUUUUGAGAUGCCAAGAUUAAACAAAAAGGUUAAUUCGAUGUUGCUGCAGGACUUGGAAAAUUGAUACUGUUUUACCUCAAAAGUGCCAUUUCAUGAUAAUAAUGAGCAGGGUUUAAGCUAGGAUUUUGAGAGCUUGUCACUUUUCAAUCACUGAUAAUGAGAAGUGUGAAUGAAAUAUUUCAGAGUUAAGUUAUAGGAAUUAAAUUUUAAAUAUUAUUAAAAUUAGAUUAUAUGCAUUUCUAAUUAUAUCAUUUGUUUUAACUUUUAAGCAUAUUUUUUCCAAUCUUUUUUUUUUUCAGGAUGAAAAUAGCAAACAGGAAGUUUUCAAGAGAUUGUUACCUCAAAUCUGAAGUGGUUCAAUGCAAAACACGAGCUUCAUUCAAUGCGAUGCUGGCCCUGCAUGGUAUUCACAAAGUGCCUUUAUUAGAUGAAAACUUAAUGGGAAUAAAUUUACCUGAUGUUUAGGUAAUGUUUGAUGCUUCCAAUUGUGGAUAUUUUGAAAAAAAGGUGAAAAUGAAGGAAGGACAACACACACAAACUUUUUUAUUUAUUGAUUAUAAAAUUGAGAGAGUCAAAUAUAAUUUCAAAAUAUGAAAUGUGUGAAAGGCAAAGAGAGAGUCAGCUAGGUAUUUGUGAAGAUUAAAUUUGUUCAUUUUAAAGCUCACUGCUUAUCUUCAAUGUUUGAUUAAAAAAAAAUUUUUUCUUCAAAAUUCAUUAUGUUAAAAUGUGAGAUAGUUAGAAUAUUCAUUUGUAAAGAUUUAUCCUGUUUCAACCUUAAAGCUCAUAAUAUUGUUUCCAUUUUUUAAGAGCUGUUUGACUAUAGACGGUCACUGCUAUUUUUUGUUUGUUUGUAUUUAUGGUUUAAACAAGAUUAAUCUAAGAGGAAUUGCAGUGUAUGAAAGACAGAAAUAAGGACUAUGUAAAGGUCUAUUCUUUUUCAGCAAAACAGCAGGUUCUUCUUUAUAACUUUUUGUAUUGAAAUAAUCAAGCACUUGCCAAUUUGUUUAAAUUGGAUAAAUCUUGGAUGAGUAUUACAUUGUGUAUUGAAAACUGUAUUUUUAAAAAGGAUACACUAAAAAUAUUACAUACUAAAAAAUUUAAAUCAUAAAUUUUCAUUUUAUAUCUAAAUUAUCACACAUAUGCAAUAUAUUAAGUGUACCAUUUUUUAUAUAUUUAUUUUUUUUAGUUUUCAACACAGGAAUUGAAAUCUAAAAUGAAUGAGGAGCUAAUAGGUUGGAAGUUAUGGCAAGGGGAGGGAAUAAACCUAUUUACCUCCUAAUACUGGUUUCUUCCUAUGAUGAAAGUUAAUUUAUCAUACUUGUAUUAUUUACAUGUAAUAUAUUUAAGGGACACAGAUGUUAUCAAAAUUUGCCAUUUUGUAGAGCUAAUAGUAAAGAAAUAAUGUAAACAAAAGAAAAAGAAAAAAAAAAAGAUAAAAGAAAAAACUGUAAACAAAGUUCUAGGAAAUGGCAGUAUGGGAUUUUCUGAAAUUUAUAAGUUGUAUUGGAUCGAAAAGUAUUCUUACAACUUAAUACAUCUGGUGUGUGUGAGGGAGAGAAAGAUAUUAUGUGGAGGUUUAUUUUUUCUUUCAGCCAAACAGCAGGCACUUCUUACAACUUUUUGUAGACUGGUCUCAAACAAGUUGCCAAAAUUAACCUGUCAUUUGGUUUAGAUAAGAUAAAUCUAGAAGGAAGAUAGUAUUUUGAGAUGCUACUUUUUCUUUGAUUUGUUUUAUGGCUUGAAUCUAUGAACAAAGAAUAUACACUUGAAUAUGACAUGGAUCAAAAUUUAAUAAAUCAGCUCUCAUUGUUUUAAACAUCACAGUCAUGUUCUAUUCUAUGUGUAUCUAUGUCAUUUGUUAACCCCUUCAACACAGAAAGCAAAAUCCAUGUGAUGAAUGAGGAGCUAAUAGGGUGAAGUUUAUGGCAAGGGGAGGGAAUACACCUAUUUACCUCCUUAUUCUGGUCGCUUCCUUUGGUGAAAGGUAAUUAAUUAGACAUUAAUAGGAGCACAUCAGAUGUAAUCAAAAUUUGCCAUUUUGUAGAGCUUAGUAAAAACUGUAAACUAAGUUAUAGGAAAUAGCAGUAUGGGUUGGUUUGAAAUUUAAUGAUAUCUUUUGGAUAUUAAAUUCUUCUUUUUAUAUUUUAAAUUCAUCUGAUUUGCAUAUUUGAUAGAGAGAUAGAACAAGACUUUGUGAAGGUUUAUUCUGUUUCAAUCUAACAGCAGGUGCUUCUUUCAUCUAAUUGUAAUCAUCUCUUAUGACCAAUUUUCAAUAAAACUACUAAAAUCUGCCAUUGGAUUAAGAUUGGAUGAAUCUAGAAGGAGGGUAAAGUAUUUCGAAUUUGAUUACCAGUACUUAAAAAAAAUAAUUACAUUGUUUCUUAAUUUUCAAUUUUUGGAGUAAGAGAAUGA
Molecule: long non-coding RNA, 2837 nt
Organism: Mytilus californianus (California mussel)
Lineage: Eukaryota; Metazoa; Mollusca; Bivalvia; Mytilida; Mytilidae
Exons: 3
Source: RefSeq, a predicted model, not a curated record